GCUGGGCCUGGGCUGCAUCCACCAGCCCUGGCCCCAGCUGCUGGGUCAGAAAGCGCAUCACAGCCGUCAGCUCCUCUCGGCUCAGGUCUGCAAACAGCUGGCUCUGGCCAGGGUGUGUCCAAGGCUGGGCACUGGGAGAUACAGAGGGGCAAUGGGGAAGCUGGCUGGGUUCACCCCCAUCUCCACCCCUGCCCACCAGCAGGACAC
Molecule: long non-coding RNA, 207 nt
Filed under: Homo sapiens (human)
Lineage: Eukaryota; Metazoa; Chordata; Mammalia; Primates; Hominidae
Description: HSALNT0240880
Source: RNAcentral